Molecule: ribosomal RNA, 418 nt
Filed under: uncultured prokaryote
Description: bacterial SSU rRNA
Rfam family: Bacterial small subunit ribosomal RNA
Source: RNAcentral
GUGUCAGCAGCCGCGGUAAUACGUAGGGGGCGAGCGUUGUCCGGAAUCAUUGGGCGUAAAGAGCUCGUAGGCGGCUCAGUAAGUCGGCUGUGAAAUCCCGAGGCUCAACCUCGGAACUGCAGUCGAUACUGCUGUGGCUAGAGUCCGGUAGAGGAGAGUGGAAUUCCCGGUGUAGCGGUGGAAUGCGCAGAUAUCGGGAGGAACACCAGUGGCGAAGGCGGCUCUCUGGGCCGGUACUGACGCUGAGGAGCGAAAGCGUGGGGAGCAAACAGGAUUAGAUACCCUGGUAGUCCACGCCGUAAACGUUGGGCACUAGGCGUGGUGGUCCGAUCAACGACUGCCGUGCCGAAGCUAACGCAUUAAGUGCCCCGCCUGGGGAGUACGGCCGCAAGGCUAAAACUUAAAGGAAUUGACGGGG